RNAcentral lists this unclassified non-coding RNA (372 nucleotides) under Dipodascaceae sp. D3. Its description in RNAcentral is "sequence contains ITS1, 5.8S rRNA gene, ITS2". The stretch from base 110 to 258 matches the Rfam family "5.8S ribosomal RNA". The record is from RNAcentral. RNAcentral also lists the same sequence under 1 other name. Lineage: Eukaryota; Fungi; Ascomycota; Dipodascomycetes; Dipodascales; Dipodascaceae.
GUAACAAGGUUUCCGUAGGUGAACCUGCGGAAGGAUCAUUAUGAAUUAAAAAUAUUUGUGAAUUUACCACAACAAACAAAAAUACUAUAGUCAAAACAAAAAUAAUUAAAACUUUUAACAAUGGAUCUCUUGGUUCUCGUAUCGAUGAAGAACGCAGCGAAACGCGAUAUUUCUUGUGAAUUGCAGAAGUGAAUCAUCAGUUUUUGAACGCACAUUGCACUUUGGGGUAUCCCCCAAAGUAUACUUGUUUGAGCGUUGUUUCUCUCUUGGAAUUGCUUUGCUCUUCUAAAAUUUCGAAUCAAAUUCGUUUGAAAAACAACACUAUUCAACCUCAGAUCAAGUAGGAUUACCCGCUGAACUUAAGCAUAUCAA